GCGGUCGGUAACGUUGCAAGCGAUGAAUGAAUAGUUUGUGUGUAGCUUCUGUCCAUUCGAGGAAUAUUCGAUAGAUGGACAUGUGAAAUGUUGCUUGUUUUGGAUUACGCGUUACAGCGUAUUAUUGGACCAAACAAAUAAUGUUUGCUAUAAUUAGGUCUUGUAGUUACUGUAUGUGGUAGUUCCAACAGCUAUAUACGGCUUUUGCAGUGAGCAAAUUUAAGCAAACAGUUUGUUGUUGAAAUUGCAUGAAUCUGCUGAUCUGUUAGCUUUAUUUGUUUUAUGUUGAAUCAAUCAUCUAAGGAUCGUGGCUUCUAAUAUGCGAGGCUUAUGACAAGCGCUCUUUACCACAUUUGAGCUUGAGCUUGUGCGACCACCCCUGGCUGCUACUCCGUUACCAAUCUGUACCAGCUGAAGUUGCACAGGGAAUCAGUAGAUAAUUAUGCAUGGGGUAGCGAAACAUCUUUCAAUGUGCAACUCCUGGUAAUCCUGGAAUUAGACCGAUAUUUGCUUUUGCUAGAGGCCGUAUAUACUACUGCACACUCCACAAGUAUCACGGAAAGAGGAUAUUUGUUAGUAAGUAUAGAAGUUCAUGAUCGACGCCAGAGAGGUGGCUCCACUAUCUGGACUAGAUAUCAAUCCAUCAACUCAUGGACCGGGGACCAACAUCUUUACUCCCCUUCCGAAGGAAGACGCGACCACAAAUUUUUUCACCUCAGCAAAAUUUCAACGACCUCGACUGGGAUUGAACCCAGGCCAACUGGAAUGAGUGGUGGUCCCGCUUACCACUCAACCACCGGCGCCGUCACAAAUACGUAUUCACUUUACAAUUUGUUACAGUUAGUCAAAUCCAAUCUGACGCUGAAGACGUAUAGUGAUCUGAAUGAUUUCGCUAUAGCAGGUCUAUUAGUUCUACUACAUCAGGAAGUAUUUGCUGUCAAACUGAGUAGAUACGUGAAUACCAGCUACCAUUUGCCCAAACAAAUGCCGUCAGUUAGUAGACUUUCGGAUGGUCUACUAGGACGAGGCCACCUUUGAAUAGACAUCCUUUACCUUUCACUGAUUAAGCUCUACCAUAGAGACCAUCACAGCUUCCCUGUUAGAGUCGCUAUUUUCAGAAAACACCAAAGAAGAAUUAAGAGAAAAGCUAGCACAAGUCCAAGUAGAUGUUGACACUGAAGGUCAGCCUGUUGAUAUACGAUAACAUCGAAGACUGCAUAUCAAGAAGACUGGUAAUUCUGUCCAGAAUCUGGAGACAGUAACAGCCACGCCACUUGCAGGUAAAGAAACGAUGCAACCCCUGUCGCUUCUGGUUUGUAUAGGGAAAGGAAAGAGAUAUCAGUCUUCCUAAUGUGUAGUCUUCGACAACAUGCUGUGUUUCUCAGUCUUUGGCAGGUUUCACUCAAGGAAGUCACCUAGGACAAUGGAUCGUUGGUGCAUUCGAUGUGUGCCGUUGUUUGUAAAAUUGCUCUAAAAGUUUAGAACAUUUAGAAAUGGGAAACCUCAAUUUGGCGAUAGCAGUAGUCGAAUAUGAAAACUUUUUAAAGUAUUUUGUUGUUUCUAAGCAGUACCGCUCGGUCUAUUUAUUUUACAGUAGUUCGUAACAUAGUUCCGAGAUAUUCCUAAUGCAGAAGGAGACAAGAAAAAUAAUGCACAGUUACUGAAAAAUGCAUCAACGUCAACCCGGGUGCUCGAAACAAUCCCGUGUCGAGUUCUAUUCUAUUCUAUUCUAUUCUAUUCUAACCCUUACACAGCCAGUAUUGAAAAGCAUCCUGGAAAACACCGCAGUUAUUCUUUAGUGUUUUUUGUCAACAUUAAUAUUUGAAACAUAUUAUGUGUAAUAUGUCGCAAAUAUUAAAACGGCCAGGCCUACUGUGCAGAGUUGGGUUAAAAGGUGUUUCAAAACUAUACGGCAAUUAAUUUAUUCAUUUAAUGAAUAAUUUAACUAACGAAUCGUUUUGAAUCUUGAAUGAGGAAGAAACGAGGACAACCGUACCGACCGUUUCAGUUUAUAGGGGAUUGGGAUAUAUCGUUGGGAGUGACUUGGCUAAGAAGUUUAAUGUCACUCCUUUGGUCCUUGGGGAUGGGGCAGAGGGAUUUACUCCUUGCCCUGGCUAAUAAGCCUAGGUUAAAGCACCUUUACUCGCUCUUGAAACAAUCCCGAGUCGAGUGAUUUAAAAGUACGAACAAAUUCUCACAACUUGCCGCCAAGUGCAAUCCGAGUGUCGUAGUGGAAAGGUUUUCUGUCGACCGCGGUCAAAGGUCAUUCGGAAAUCAAGGCUGAUCGCAGUACCUCAGUUUAUGAUUUGACAAAAAACUGAAUGCUGUACUGUACAACAAGCUACCGAGCAAGUAAACAACCGAGCCUCGCAUAACAAAUAGCGUUCAGAACGGGUCCGUAGGCUGUACGACCACGUGCUGAUAAAACUCGGUGUGAUUUGAUUGACGAUGAGAUAUCGUCGCUGUUGUGCUAUCUUAUGACAAGCGCCAUUUAGCACAUUUCGAGAAAAACGAUUUUUAAAGUUUGAAAUUGAAUAUCUUGAAACUUAUAAAUGGUAUAAACAAUCAAAAAAAACAAUUGAUGCUUCUAUCUAUUCUGUACUAAUCUCUCAAAUAUUACAAAGAUCGGUUGACUAUGUUGCGAGUUUUUACUAUGAAUGUAAACAAAAGUUGCACUCACACAUGUCAUAGGCGUGUAUUGAUGACAAAAUUUGUAUGACGUGUUAUAAUCGUGCAUGGAAAUUUUUCCAUAGGAAAAAAUCAUCAAUUUUUUACUUUUAUUCAUAUCUUUCGGUUCAUUUGGUCUAUAAACAAUCGGUGGGAUGCAUUUUAAAGGAAAUGAGUCAGGGAAUCUGGAAAAAAUAGUUAUUUUUGGUUACAGUGUUGCCAAAUAUGCUAUAUUUUCAGUUUAAAACAUAAAUUGUGUUUUUCACACAACUCUUGUAUGUUUCUAUUGAAAAUUUUUAUGCCAUUGUGUUCCUCAAAUAUUUUUACACAUAAAAACAUCUAAAACUUCAAUAUAACUUGAGCAAAUUCCUAGAUACAGUGAUUUGAAGCAAAAAACUUACAAUUUCUCAUCAUGUUUCUCGCUAUAUCUAAGCAACCACAUAUAAUUUCAAAAUACUGAAAACGCCACUUUGUAGAGUUUUUUUAGACAAGUAAUGUAGCAUAUCUAAAUCAGUUUACCCCGAAAUGGCGUUUGUCAUAAGAUAGCACAACAGCGACGAUAUAUGACAUUUUAAGCAAAUCCCUGGGCUCAAUUUCUACAAGGUUCAUACUCAACGUAAUGCUCCUAGAAGAUGCGAGUUUGUUUUUUGAGUAAGAGAAAAAUAGGAUUUGGCAAGAGAUCUAUUUUUGUGGCAAAAAACACAGCUGUUUGUGAUUGAUAAGACCAUGCACUCGGAAUCAUUUAAAAGGAAGUGCCUCUAGGCGUACAAUGGUACAACGAGUUAGUUCAACCCAAAAGAGCUGAGUCCGCUAAAUUGUUACCAGUUCCAUUUAAUAGACAAAUCUUGGGCGCCAAUGAAGCGCAAACUAAAGAUAAAGAGAGCAUUUAACAUCGGCUUUGAAUGGAUGAAGAAUAGGUGAAAGCAGCUAACAUCAACAAAAAAGUGCGAGAAUUUCUUUGAAAUAACAAUUAGUUCAGUGAAAUGAGGUUAUUGCGUUUGUUUAAUUCUUGCAAAACUUACCGACUGAAGAAAGGGUUUCGGAGUUAUGAGUACUUUCAACAGAAAGGCCUAAUUAUAAGUGUCCCGGAAAGUUUUUUUUAUCCUUUUAAUUUCGUACUGCAUCACAAAGGAAGCAAGCUUCACAAACUGUAACAUGAAAUAUAAAUUUAAUGUACGCAUCUAAAAAUAGUCUGCGUCUGACAAUUAUGUUAUUAGUAGAAUUUCGUCUUUUAGACACUACAAUACUAUUUAAGACUUAUUGAGCUUAGAAUGUAAAAAUACAAAUAUUCCUGAAGUUAAAAUGUUCGACCCAUUUCUAUUAGUUACUGUAUGAAAUCACACCGUGGUAGUUGGUGUUAAGAAUUGUCGUACCUAUUCGUCUUUUCCUCACGAUCAUCCCUGGGUACAAUAGCGGUGACAGCGAUGCAACAUGGAGGAGAAGUGGGGGAUCUAUUCCAUUUGAGAUUUGACAGAACUGCUACAUAGAUGUUUUCAACGUCGAGUGCCGAGAAAAUGUCUAAAAAUAUACCUAAUUCAAAUAUUAUUUUUUGGGAAGACAAACUAGCAAAAGGAAAAGCGACAAAAAAUAUGAGUGGUAAACAAACUGAAGCUACAAUUUUCACGAGAACAUGCAAUAAUUUUAAGCGGCCCAAAAUAAGCAUUUACAUGGGAUCCCAGUGAAUUUGUUCUUGUCUUCUGCCUCCGAAUGCCACACGACCUCUAGACUGGGUUUGUCCGUAGCAAGGUUAAAGUGGUUUCAACCUCCUAAUAGACAAUAACCCAAACCCCUUCGCAUCUUCCUACCUCUAUAUGAGAUAAACCCUUACUAGAUUCGAAUGAUAUCAGUGCCUCCUACUAAACAUUUCAGCAGUAAAAUUUUUACGUGGUGUUUUCAAUGAUGCAACGAAAUAUAUAAAACAAUCAAAAUUUUAUAUAGAAUUUGUAUGGGGUUAGACUUGCUGUUCUUUACUAAUUACCUGUAGUAGCAGCUAGCAAACCAGUGAGGAUAAAAAAUGCAUUUCUCUACGCAUUUCAUUUUAUAACAACAGCACAUAAACACAAGCACUAUCACAUACUCUGCUUUUAAAAACUUAAAUCACUGUUACUUUUAUUUCUUGUAGAUACCUAUUAACUCUUACUUAUCUGUUGGAAAUUUUGUUCACCAGCAAUUGCAAAUAAACAUUCGCCUUCAAACACGAAACUGGCUCGGUACAUAACCGGCAGCCGAAAACACCGCAACCCUGGUUACACCAAGCAACGCACAAAUCGAUGCUUACUUCGAUUUGAACCCAUAUUCGACAACACACGACCACCAAAUGAACUACCAUUUUUCACUAUUUUUUCUUCGCUCCAUCGCUUACCUACCUUCUCCGCUAAGCGGUAGCAGCAAUUGCUGUAUGCAUGAACAAGAUCGAACAAGUCGCGCGUGCAAAAUGGCUUCUGUGAUACUAAACAUAAACUUAUAAACUAAACUUCGAUAUAACGUACCCUCGAUAUAACGUACCCUCGAUAUAGCUUCACUCGAUAUAACGUACAUUUUUCCUCGAUAUAACGUACAUAUUUUAAAAAUUAUUUUUCUGGUCCAAAUUUCUCUUCAAUAACGCAUGUAUUCCAUAUUUUAAGAAUUGAAUAUGUUAUACACAAUCUUAAAACCUACUAAUUGGGCUUCUAUUGAGUAUGUUAGCAAUUGGCUACUUAAUUGAAGGUUUCGAGAGGUUUUUAUCCAAUUUAAUUUGCGUAUGAUCGUAGUUUACCAAAAGCAACCAUUUAUCUCAAUAAAUAAUACAUGGUCAGUAAGUUCUAACUGGAAACAAAAAAAACUAGAAUUAAUAAUAUUGGUGUGGCCAUUGAUGGAUGGUUUCGGGACGGCGAAAUCUGAUUCUAUGGGCUGAAUUACAAUGUUUAAGUUCCAUGGAAUGCUGCAACAAAAACAGCAUGUGAAAUGCAAUCAUACUUAAUAACAAUCAGAUACAGUUGCUUCACGAAACCCCGGAGUUAGGUUCUUCGAAUUACAGAUUCUUUUUAUCAUUCUCGACGUGUGGCUUAUCAAAUUACAUCAACAAUAUGAUCUACGAAUCAUAUUGAAAGUAAUGUGGACAUAUUUAACUCCGAUAUCGCAUAUUGCGGAAUUCAGUUCCCUGGACCGAUGAUUAAUUUUAAAGCUUACCUUCAUGUCUGGGCCACAAAAAGAAUAAUUACAUGGAACCACAUAAUUUUCUUAAAAGAAAAGUUGUUUCACACUGCUAAGUAGGUUAGAUUUUAAAAAUUAGUUACGUUUUGUUAAAAGCGGGGUUUACCUGAUUUCCAACACAACACUUUUACUCUGCAUUUAUAUGGAUUUGCAAUUUAAUAUUUGAGCUGCCGAUUCUCCCUUUUUCGGCUCAAAAACAAGAUUUAACCUGUUACUGGCUGGCAUAUGGCCAGCCUUUGAAAAGCACCUAGUCCCUGGUCAAGCCACGGGGACCGUCUGGGGUGGACUCUCACGGUCUCUUCUCUGGCUAGCUCGAUCGUGAAAGCACGAAGGCUUUCAGGGUCGGCUCCGCGGUCUACUUUGGGAUCAAGAGUUCGGAUAGUAGUAAUUGAAAGGCUAUUCCUCACUUUAAUCUUAUGUAUUACUCACAAUUGGUGUGUAUGUGUGGGUGUGUGUAUCGGGAUGCACUCGUUUACAUGUGGUCGGCCGACCUGCUGCUGCUGCUACUGGUGGGUAUUGGCUGAAUGUGCGCUGUACUGCUCGUUGCUGCUGUAGGUGACUGCUUUUGCGUUGAUAACUUCGGAGGGUCUCCCGCCCUUGACUGCAUACGACUCCGAAAGCGAGAAAAGGGCCGCGAGUGCGGUUAUACGGUGAACCAAUUAGCGAGUAGGGAUCGACUCUUGGUCCUUCUGGGAGAUAUUGUGUUGCCGCGGGUUUACUCCAAAGGCGUAGCUUGGAAAGGGCUCUAGCCCGUCGCAGCUCCGAACUUGAAUGCGUACGACCUCGAAAGCUGGAGAGCGUCCGCGGGUGCGGUUAUGUUUAAUUAGUCGGUCAAAGCCCGACGCUUUGUUUUCCGUAGUCCGGAAUCAGUCGGAAAUUUAAUGGGUCCUAGCGUGGUUUUGGAGAAGCUUGGGGUUAGGUCACAAUAUUUCUCGCUUGUUGCAGUUAUAUUUUUAUCUUAAUUUACCUGACUGCUAUGGUUGAAGCACGUCCAAUAUACUUCGGCUUGAACUACCGGUUAUUUAAUUUUCACUUUUAAAAUCAAACUUGCUAAUAUCGAUUUUUAGCGACCGUUCACGUUGGUUGUCUAGAUGAUAAAACCUUGGCUUCAAUACUUUACCCAGCUUCUCCCCACGGAUGUUCUAUAGAACGUUUUCAGGUGCAUAGUGCAGCAAUUUUCGCGUAGUGCAUUUGUGGUGUGUAUAAUGUCUGUUUUAGUACAAUUAUUUGAACUGCUCGUUAUACAUAUUCCUACGGAGUUUUUAAUUUUAGUUUAUUUUAUCCCUAAUUUUAAUUAUUUCUAGUUCUCUGACAAUUUUUAACCUAUUAGACUAUAAUCGAUUUUACAAUUAACAACAAUAUAAUAUUAUAGAUGAUAUCAAUAAUAAUUAACUCAUAAACGCAUGCCCAACCUAACACGUAUAUACAUGAAAAUCACCAUGAACGCUAGUAUGACUGUUUUCAUGAUUUUUGCUUCUCCUAUAAGGGCUUCAUAGGGUGUACGAUUCGAAACGGUAACAAACCCUCACAGUAAAAAGACACACUUUUUUCACUGCACUACGCGUUAGAACGCACCACAAAGCGUUCCGCUGAGCACAAAACACUUGCUAAGCUAGAACUCCUAUUAGUGAUAAAAACACUACCGAACCUAAAAAAAAUAACACGGAUACUGUUUACUGCGCUGAGAAAGAACAGGUUUGAAAAGUCAACCGAACCGGAACGCGAUUACUGAUGAGCUCUAUGACAAGCGCCAUUUACCACAUUUUAAGAAAAACUAUUUUUAAAGUUUGAGAUUGCAUAUCUUGAAUCUUAUAAAUGGUAGAAACAAUUCAGAAAAGGCAACUUAUUCUUUCAUCUUUUCUGUAUUAUUCUCUCAAAUAUUACGAAGAUCGGUUGACAAUAUUGAGAGUUUUAUUGUGCGUUGCAGGAUAAUCGCUCGAUAUGCGAUAUGAAAGCUCAACUCAGAUAGGCGCGUGAAAGCCGCCUAUACAAAUUCAUAGGAAGCUUUUUCCUUGGAGCUUUCGAAAAGCACAGGAGGCAGAAAAAUAAACAAACAAAGCAAGAGAAUACACUCUACAUUUAUUUUUAAUAAAGAUUGCUUCUCACUCCUAUAGUUCACUUAUGUUCGACUGUCUCAUUGGUUAGUGACUCCACUGAAAUCGGCUUGCGGAGCAACUGCGGCUAUAUUCUAUGCGCCUUUCGGACGCACGCAAUGUGAGACUUUAUUAUAAGCGCGACAAUAACUAAAAAUGUAAACAAAAGUCGCACUCUCUCCUGUCAUAGGGGUGACAAAAUUUGUAUGACGUGUCAUAGUUGCGCAUGGAAAAUUUUCUAUACAAAUAAAGCAUCAAUUAUUAACUUUUAUUCAUAUUUUCGGCUAAAUUUGGUCUAGAAACAAUCGGUUAGAUGCAUUUUUAAAACAUUUGGUCGAGGAAUCUAGAAAAAAUAGUAAUGCAUGCAUAUUUGUCUUUCAAAAAUUACUAUACCAUUGUGUUCCUCGAGCAUUUUUACAUAUCAAAUCAUCUAAAACUUCAACACAACUUGAGCUAAUCCCAAGAUACAGUGAUUUGAAGCAAAAACCCCAUAAUUACUUAUCACGUUUCUCGCUAUAUCUCAGAAACCAAACAGAAUUUCAAAAUUCUGAAAACGCCACUUUAUAGAGAUUUUUUAAACAAGGAAUGUGGCAUAUCUAACACCAAAAUUGCACUUGUCAUAAAAUAGCACAACAGCGACGAUAUGCGAACAAGAGAUGAGCGGGUAUGGGAUUUUUCGCACCCGGACCCGACCCGAACAUUAUUUAUCCGUCCCCGGAUUUUAUAAAAAUACAAAACCCGACACGUACCCGGCAUGAAAAAGAAUUCGAACCCAAACCCGACCCGAAUCCGACCCACACUCGCAUUAAAAAAAUUAAAAACCGUACCCGACCCGAACCCGAUUUUCAAUAAAUAAAUUUAACCUAUUUGAUUCGAAGGAGUAGGGGAACCUGAGGCGUUGGCGGGAUUUUAAUUUUUUAUCUCUUUGAUUGAAGAAUUGAACGCUCGGUAGUAUGCGUAGGAAAAAUUGUGUGCAACUUUGCCGCCGAUUAUUUCUUAUAAAGCAUUCAUUAAACUCUAAAAGAAUAA
Long non-coding RNA from Topomyia yanbarensis, 8981 nucleotides. RefSeq lists it as uncharacterized. The record is from RefSeq and is a predicted model, not a curated record. NCBI's taxonomy places the organism in Eukaryota, Metazoa, Arthropoda, Insecta, Diptera, Culicidae. The transcript is spliced from 5 exons.